UCUGGUGGUGAUGGCACAGAGGUAACACUCCUUCCCAUUUCGAACAGGAAAGUUAAGGUCUGUAGCGCUGAUGGUACUGCAUGGGAGACUAUGUGGAAGAGUAAGACAUCGCCAGGU
Molecule: ribosomal RNA, 117 nt
Filed under: Clostridium butyricum
Lineage: Bacteria; Bacillati; Bacillota; Clostridia; Eubacteriales; Clostridiaceae
Also listed under: 1 other name
Source: RNAcentral